This is a long non-coding RNA of Gadus macrocephalus (Pacific cod), 1051 nucleotides long. RefSeq lists it as uncharacterized. NCBI's taxonomy places the organism in Eukaryota, Metazoa, Chordata, Actinopteri, Gadiformes, Gadidae. The transcript is spliced from 4 exons. The record is from RefSeq and is a predicted model, not a curated record.
ACCUCCGACUUCAGCUCCUCGUACGUUCCGUCCUCCUCUUUGCCCUCCUCUUUGUCCUCAGCGUCGUCUGUCCUGGAGUUGGGCACCCAGAGGCCUGACUCUAUACACGCCUUCAUAUGGACCUUCGCCUCCUAAAAGGGCUUCCACCAGCAUCUGCCCAGUAUGGACUGUUUUUGCAUUCACGUCAUGAUUACAUCACUGCAUUAGGUGGAGACAAAACAAAAGCAGAGACCUCACUUCCAUUAAGGAACUGACGGAAUAAGGCAUCCUGCUAAAGAACGCAUACAGUGACUCGUACACCUCUACUGGAUCCAGGCCCCCGGGGCCGAUGCGCUUCUGCCGCUCUUCCUCCUCGUAUUCCUUCAUGGCCUUCUCUAUGCGGAUCUUGGCCCGGCCACGCACCCGGCCCUUGAAGGACUCCAGCUCGUCGUUGAAGGCAUCCUGGUACUGCUGGUCGGCGGUCUGGAUAUAAACAGUCAACACCUCAAGAUAUAAACAAUCUAUUGUUUAUAUCUUGAGGUGUGUUGGUGGUUUGCUGCAACAACUUUCGUGUGAAACAUGGAAAUUAAUACAUUUUACUUCAAAUGUUCCCUUGAAAUGCUACCCUAAGUCUAUUAAGGCAACCAUUGCACCCCUAACCACCUCCAGAAUGAGGGAUCCCCACUUUGAAAAAAAAAAAUGGGUUGUCCUUGCUGUUUUGGGAGCUAGGGUUGGGGGGCUUUACAGGCCAUACAAUAUGUCCUUUAAAGCCCUUUAAGUCUGUGAUGAAGGACCAUGCAAAGGAUUUGAUGUGACGGUACCAAGCCACAUGCUGUAUUAUUAACCAAAGCAACGUUACCUUGAUCUUAGCGAAGAACUGGCGAAAACAACCGCGUGGGUCCACCUUGAGGCUUUUGGCCAGCUCCAGAAUGAAUUGCAUUACAAUGGUCUGAUGAGCCACCUGCUCCAUCAGCGCAUGUUUCUUUGAAGAAAAUACAAGUGGUCAGCCGUUACACACAUUUGUGAAGGAAAAAAAAAAAAAAAAAAAAACAGUCAUGAGACUAGAACCCCA